AGUUUUUCGGCUGUCCAUUUUUUUGUGCUGGGAUAUGUCAACAGAGGAGCUACGUACUUGGAAAUGAAGUCAACACGGUUAUUUAAGAUGACAUGGGGCAAUGAGAGAAGAGGAAUUUUAAGAGCCUGUGCCAACAGUGGGACAUGAUCUGCGCAGAGACCGACACAUUGGCACAACCCAUACGAAAAGAUUCAGAAGUGCCCAGUACAGGAGAGGGGGCAGACAUCACUGUUUCGUGGGCAGCAGACCUGUACAGGCUCCAGCCCUGUGUGUCACAGCUACAGAUGCCUGCGCUGCUGGCACAGACGCCCCGGCCCCCCUCGCCAUCGCUCCAGCCCUGUGUGUCACAGCUCCACACCCCUGCGCUGCUGGCCCAGCCUCCUCUGGCCCCCUCGCCAUCACUCCAGCCCUGUGUGUAACAGCUCCAGACGCCUGCGCUGCUGGCCCAGCCUCCUCUGCCCCACGCGCCAGACGCCUGCACCAUGGCCUCCUCCUGCCCUCAGCUCUACCAGCUCCUGGUCCGUCUCAAGUCCAGCCAUCACAGCUGGUAGGCUGUCGGUGAACACGGGAUGCCAAGCAUGGACAAGGUGGACAACCUGGCUGAAUACAUUGUGGAGCUGCACCAUGAAGCCUCCCUGACCCACCCCCUGCAUUUUCAAUACCACUUGUUCUCCCACUCCACCCAAACUGCUCCUCUUGUCUUUUCUCGGCUUACUUUUCCUCUCUGUA
Long non-coding RNA from Engraulis encrasicolus (European anchovy), 729 nucleotides. RefSeq lists it as uncharacterized. The record is from RefSeq and is a predicted model, not a curated record. The transcript is spliced from 4 exons. Lineage: Eukaryota; Metazoa; Chordata; Actinopteri; Clupeiformes; Engraulidae.